RNAcentral lists this transfer RNA (77 nucleotides) under Sphingobium indicum UT26S. RNAcentral's name for it is "Sphingobium japonicum UT26S tRNA-Thr (TGT)". It matches the Rfam family "tRNA". Rfam says of the family: Transfer RNA (tRNA) molecules are approximately 80 nucleotides in length. Their secondary structure includes four short double-helical elements and three loops (D, anti-codon, and T loops). Lineage: Bacteria; Pseudomonadati; Pseudomonadota; Alphaproteobacteria; Sphingomonadales; Sphingobiaceae. The record is from RNAcentral.
UGCCGGCUUAGCACAGCGGUAGUGCAGCGGUUUUGUAAACCGAAGGUCGGGGGUUCGAUCCCCUCAGCCGGCACCAU